UGUGUGUGUGUGUGUGUGUGUGUGUGUGUGUAUGUAUGUAUGUAAUAAACUCAUAUACACACACACACACACACACAUC
Molecule: microRNA precursor, 79 nt
Filed under: Marmota monax (woodchuck)
Lineage: Eukaryota; Metazoa; Chordata; Mammalia; Rodentia; Sciuridae
Source: RNAcentral